Molecule: ribosomal RNA, 484 nt
Filed under: uncultured bacterium
Lineage: Bacteria
Description: partial 16S ribosomal RNA
Rfam family: Bacterial small subunit ribosomal RNA
Source: RNAcentral
GACGAACGCUGGCGGCGUGCUUAACACAUGCAAGUCGAACGGUGGAGCUCCAGCUUCCUGGGGUGUAUCAGUGGCGAACGGGUGAGUAACACGUGAGCAACCUUGCCCGGGCGCUGGAAUAACCGCUGGCGACGGCGUCUAAUACUUGCUACGUGAGGGGGCCGCAUGGGCACCUUCGGGCAAGUCGUUCGGAUAGGGACCGAGUCCGGGGCAGCCAGGUGGUGGGGUAAGGGACGCCCAAGCCGACGAUCCGCAACUGGCCUGAGAGGAUGAUCAGUCACAGGGGAAGUGAGACGGGGUCCAGACUACUACGGGAGGCAGCAGUGGGGAAUAUGGGACAAGGGGCGAAAGCCUGAUCCAGCCAGGCCGCGUGUGUGAAGAAGGUCUUCGGAUUGUAAAGAACUUUAAGGUGGGAGGAAGGGCAGUAAGUUAAUACCGUGCUGUUUUGACGUUACCAACAGAAUAAGCACCGGCUAACUUCGUG